AGCAGCCGCGGUAAUUCCAGCUCCAAUAGCGUAUAUUAAAGUUGUUGCAGUUAAAAAGCUCGUAGUUGAAUUUCGGGAUUGGCGCAUCGGUCGUGCCUCACGGGGUAUGAACUGGUGCAGUCAAUUUCUCACCUUCUGGAGAACCGCGAUGUCCUUAAUUGGAUGCCGUGGGGAACCAGGACCUUUACUUUGAAAAAAUUAGAGUGUUUAAAGCASGCAUUUUUGCUUGAAUACAUUAGCAUGGAAUAAUAAAAUAGGACGGCAUGGUUCUAUUUUGUUGGUUUCUAGGACCACCGUAAUGAUUAAUAGGGAUAGUUGGGGGCAUUAGUAUUCAAUUGUCAGAGGUGAAAUUCUUGGAUUUAUUGAAGACUAACUACUGCGAAAGCAUUUGCCAAGGAUGUUUUCAUUAAUCAAGAACGAAAGUUAGGGGAUCGAAGACGAUCAGAUACCGUCGUAGUCUUAACCAUAAACUAUGCCGACUAGGAAUCAGACGAUGUUAAUUUUUUAAUGACUCGU
Molecule: ribosomal RNA, 516 nt
Filed under: Glomus sp. Glo5
Lineage: Eukaryota; Fungi; Glomeromycota; Glomeromycetes; Glomerales; Glomeraceae
Description: SSU rRNA
Rfam family: Eukaryotic small subunit ribosomal RNA
Source: RNAcentral